AGGAUGAACGCUGGCGGCGUGCCUUAACACAUGCAAGUUCGAGCGGGAAAAUCUCAAAAGCAAAUCUUUCGGAAAGAACGAUAAUAAAAUGAAGAGCGGCGGACGAGUGAGUAACGCGUAGGCAACCUGCCCCAUACAGAGGGAUAGCCUCGGGAAACCGGGAUUAAAACCUCAUAAUGCGAAGGAUUCACAUGUUUUCUUCGCCAAAGAUUUAUCGGUAUGGGAUGGGCCUGCGUCUGAUUAGCUAGUUGGUGGGGUAACGGCCUACCAAGGCAACGAUCAGUAGCUGACCUGAGAGGGUAAUCGGCCACAUUGGAACUGAGACACGGUCCAAACUCCUACGGGAGGCAGCAGUGGAGAAUAUUGCACAAUGGGCGAAAGCCUGAUGCAGCAACGCCGCGUGAGCGAUGAAGGCCUCUGGGUCGUAAAGCUCUGUCCUUGGGGAAGAAAAAAAUGACGGUACCCUUGGAGGAAGCCCCGGCUAACUACGUGCCAGCAGCCGCGGUAAUACGUAGGGGGCAAGCGUUAUCCGGAAUUAUUGGGCGUAAAGAGUGCGUAGGUGGUUUUGUAAGCGCGGGGUGAAAGGCUAUGGCUCAACCAUAGUAAGCCCUGCGAACUGUGAGACUUGAGUGCAGGAGAGGAAAGUGGAAUUCCUAGUGUAGCGGUGAAAUGCGUAGAUAUUAGGAGGAACACCAGUGGCGAAGGCGACUUUCUGGACUGUAACUGACACUGAGGCACGAAAGCCUGGGGAGCAAACAGGAUUAGAUACCCUGGUAGUCCACGCCGUAAACGAUGAGCACUAGGUGUCGGGGUCGCAAGGCUUCGGUGCCGCAGUUAACGCAUUAAGUGCUCCGCCUGGGGAGUACGCACGCAAGUGUGAA
RNAcentral lists this ribosomal RNA (881 nucleotides) under uncultured bacterium. RNAcentral describes it as "bacterial SSU rRNA". It matches the Rfam family "Bacterial small subunit ribosomal RNA", at positions 26 to 898 of the family's 1533-position model. The record is from RNAcentral.